UACGUAGGUCCCGAGCGUUGUCCGGAUUUAUUGGGCGUAAAGCGAGCGCAGGCGGUUAGAUAAGUCUGAAGUGAAAGGCAGUGGCUCAACCAUUGUAGGCUUUGGAAACUGUUUAACUUGAGUGCAGAAGGGGAGAGUGGAAUUCCAUGUGUAGCGGUGAAAUGCGUAGAUAUAUGGAGGAACACCGGUGGCGAAAGCGGCUCUCUGGUCUGUAACUGACGCUGAGGCUCGAAAGCGUGGGGAGCGAACAGG
RNAcentral lists this ribosomal RNA (252 nucleotides) under Streptococcus constellatus. RNAcentral describes it as "partial 16S ribosomal RNA". It matches the Rfam family "Bacterial small subunit ribosomal RNA", at positions 524 to 776 of the family's 1533-position model. The record is from RNAcentral. RNAcentral also lists the same sequence under 1 other name. Lineage: Bacteria; Bacillati; Bacillota; Bacilli; Lactobacillales; Streptococcaceae.